AUUGAACGCUGGCGGCAGGCCUAACACAUGCAAGUCGAGCGGAUCAGCAGACGGGGGAGUGAUGACUAGGAAUCUGCCUGGCAGUGGGGGAUGACGUCCGGAAACGGGCGCUAAUACCGCAUCCUAUCAGAUUAGCCUAGGCCGGAUUGGCUAUUUGGUGGGGUAAGGGCCUAGCAGGGCGACGAUCCGUAACUGGUCUGAGAGGAUGAUCAGUCACACGGGAACUGAGACACGGUCCAGACGCCGACGGGAGGCAGCAGUGGGGAAUAUUGGAAAAUGGGCGAAAGCCUGAUCCAGACAUGCCGCGUGUGUGAAGAAGGUCUUCGGAUUGUAAAGCACGUUAAGUUGGGAGGCGUUACCAACAGAAUAAGCACCGGCUAACUUCGUGCCAGCCGCCGCGGUAAUAC
This 407-nucleotide ribosomal RNA is filed under the name uncultured bacterium. RNAcentral describes it as "partial 16S ribosomal RNA". It matches the Rfam family "Bacterial small subunit ribosomal RNA", at positions 30 to 526 of the family's 1533-position model. The record is from RNAcentral.